This is an RNA transcript of Brachypodium distachyon (stiff brome), 1618 nucleotides long. It is a transcript of the gene named U2 small nuclear ribonucleoprotein B'', with no coding region annotated. Lineage: Eukaryota; Viridiplantae; Streptophyta; Magnoliopsida; Poales; Poaceae. The transcript is spliced from 11 exons. The record is from RefSeq and is a predicted model, not a curated record.
AUGGCCGCCUCGUACUACCACCCGCCGCCUCCCCACUCCUCCUCCUACGCCGCCCCGCCUCCUCCCCCGCCAGGCACCUCCCCGUACGCGUACCGCCACCAGCACCACCACGCCUACCUGCCGCCGGCCCCGCCCCCUGCCUACGGCGGCUACUUCGACCUCGCGGAGCCCCACCCGCCGCCGCGCGACGAGCUCCGCACCCUCUUCAUCGCCGGCCUCCCCGCCGACGUCAAGGCCCGCGAGGUCUACAACCUCUUCCGCGACUUCCCCGGCUACGUCUCCUCCCACCUCCGUGCUGGCAAAUCGGCCCAGGCGUAUGCAUUUGCUGUGUUUGAAGAUCAGCAGUCGGCAUUAGCUGCAAUGAGUGCCACAAAUGGAAUGGCAUUUGACCUUGAGAAGAAUUGUUCUAUCCACGUGGAUCUUGCAAAGUCCAAUUCGAGAUCAAAGCGUCCCAGAACAGAUGAUUUCUCUAGAUCCUCUGAGAAAAAAGCUAGAAAUGCCAGGGGAAUUUCUGAUUCAGGUGCUGGAAGCAAUAUUCACAUGUCCGGAAUGGGUAAUUCUUCACACAGCUUGAAUGGUUAUCCUUCUGCACAAAGCUGUACAAAUUUUGGGGCUAGUACUGCUUUCAGCAAGGACCCAUCAAUAUUUGCCCCUCAAAAUAAUCCUCCAUGCCCUACACUUUUUGUUGCAAACCUCGCUGAAACUUGUUCCGAGCGAGAGUUAACAGAUGUUUUCUCAAGUUUUGCGGGAUUCAUGAAGCUAAAGAUGCAAAACAAGUCUGGAGCACCAGUUGCAUUUGUUGAUUUUGAGGAUGACUAUAGUUCAACUGAAGCCCUGAACCGUCUCCAAGGAGCUAUUUUACAUUCGUCAACUGCCGAGGGCAUGCGUUUAGAAUAUGCCAAAUCUCGAAUGGGCAUGCGUAAGAAGCGUUCCUGAAUACAACCGAAAGACGAGGCUGCUGUUGUUUCUAAUACAACAGGUGUAAGCAGCCGAGCAACGUUGUUCAUCUAAACUGGUGUUCAGGCUAUUUUGCAGGUUUGCCACAUUAUGUCUAAAGUACCACUACGUCUAAUGAUGGUUCUGCUCAACUGUAUUGCAGUCCUUUUGGAAGCUAUACUCCAUAUAAGUAUUCAAAAUUUUGCUAUGUUGAAGUUCAAAAGAAAAAAACGUGUGCCAUGUUCAGUUUGAGCAGUUGAGCAUCUGUCAGGUGGAGGCUUCUCAGGUGUUUUCCUUUCGGCUUCAACAAGCUGAGCUGGUGCACUUCGCUGGUUCAAUUUGCUGCUCAAUCCACUUUCUGAACUCCAAACUGAAAGCCGAUGUCAAACAGGAUAAGCCUGCAGCAGACCGUGAGCGUAUAUAAAACAUCUGAACAGCGCGUGCCGACGACACGAGAUGAGCUUCUCUUUGUCUCCGCAAAAUUUCUUGUAACAAAAUCGAAGAGCAGAUCUCUGCAAAGAAGUUGAGACUUCGCUUUCGAUGCUUGUACCGGGUUAUCAUUCUUUUCGAAAAAAAUAAGGUACAUAAGCUAGCCCAGUAGCAUCAACACUAGCAUGUUGUUUAGUGGCAUCCAAUUAAUUAAGUCUUGCACUCUCUUCAAUAAACUGAUAAUUUACUGUCA